Stomoxys calcitrans (stable fly) is the source of this 763-nucleotide long non-coding RNA. RefSeq lists it as uncharacterized. The transcript is spliced from 2 exons. NCBI's taxonomy places the organism in Eukaryota, Metazoa, Arthropoda, Insecta, Diptera, Muscidae. The record is from RefSeq and is a predicted model, not a curated record.
AUUAACUUUUUUAAUUUCCUGGGCAUGAACACAUUUACAUUUUAAUUCAAUUACUUAUUUAUUAUAAAACAAAAACACUUUUCCAACUAAAAAAUAAUAAUUCCAAUAAUGCACCUCUUCUCUGCCAUGGAAUCGACCCCACGUCCGAAUUGAAAUAUUCCAUUAUUCGAUUUCGAAUUAACGUUACCGACUCAUCCAUCCUCGAAAUAUUUUCCCAUUCCGCUAAUUUGCAACCGUUAACAAAUUUUCCCAUAAAAUGUUUUCCCUUUUUGUGAUAAUUCAAAGGGGAAUGAUAACUCAUUCACAUCAAACAAAAAAUCCCCUUGUCGUAAACUUGGUAUUUCCCAAAAAAUAUUUGCUUUUUCCCAUAAAUUUGUUCACAUCGUUUUUGCUGGGGAGUUGCUUUAAACAUGAGCCGAAGUGUGAACAAAAAUCAACACGAGAUUUUGCUCAACAAAAUGCAAUAUAACAGGACAAUUGCGUGUGGCUUUGUCAAAAUUUCAAAGGACGCAAUGACAUUUUAAAAUUGUUGGAAUUCCGGACGAUGUUUUUGAUGGCGGCAGAUUUUCCUCGAGCUCCUCCAGAAUAUAUUUAAAAGCAUCUUUACUUAAUCUAUAGUGCUGGGUGAAUCUACAACAAAAGUUUAUUUAGAAGCAAACAUUUUUUAAAGCAUAUACAGCGGUCAAAAAAAGUAUUCAUCAUUCAAUGUUUUUUUUUUAAUAAGUCUACAAAAGACAAUUGGAAUAAAAACAUAUUAAACUAA